RNAcentral lists this ribosomal RNA (435 nucleotides) under uncultured bacterium. RNAcentral describes it as "partial 16S ribosomal RNA". It matches the Rfam family "Bacterial small subunit ribosomal RNA", at positions 28 to 507 of the family's 1533-position model. The record is from RNAcentral.
GAUGAACGCUGGCGGUAUGCUUAACACAUGCAAGUCGAACGGACUCUUCGGAGUUAGUGGCGGACGGGUGAGUAACGCGUGAGAAUCUGGCUUUGGGUUCGGGACAACCACUGGAAACGGUGGCUAAUACCGGAUGUGCCGAGAGGUAAAAGAGAAAUUGCCUGAAGAUGAGCUCGCGUCUGAUUAGCUAGUUGGUGAGGUAAAGGCUCACCAAGGCAGCGAUCAGUAGCUGGUCUGAGAGGAUGACCAGCCACACUGGGACUGAGACACGGCCCAGACUCCUACGGGAGGCAGCAGUGGGGAAUUUUCCGCAAUGGGCGAAAGCCUGACGGAGCGAUACCGCGUGAGGGAAGAAGGCUCUUGGGUUGUAAACCUCUUUUCUUAGGGAAGAACAAAAUGACGGUACCUAAGGAAUCAGCAUCGACUAACUCCGUG